Molecule: ribosomal RNA, 845 nt
Filed under: Clostridioides difficile
Lineage: Bacteria; Bacillati; Bacillota; Clostridia; Peptostreptococcales; Peptostreptococcaceae
Description: partial 23S ribosomal RNA
Rfam family: Bacterial large subunit ribosomal RNA
Source: RNAcentral
UGCCCGGUGCUGGAAGGUUAAGGGGAUCUGUUAGAGCAAUCGAAGCAGUGAACUUAAGCCCCAGUAAACGGCGGCCGUAACUAUAACGGUCCUAAGGUAGCGAAAUUCCUUGUCGGGUAAGUUCCGACCCGCACGAAAGGCGUAACGAUUUGGGCACUGUCUCAACAACAGACUCGGUGAAAUUGUAAUUCCGGUGAAGAUGCCGGAUACCUGCGACAGGACGGAAAGACCCCAUGGAGCUUUACUGUAGCUUGACAUUGGGUCUUGGUACUACAUGUACAGGAUAGGUGGGAGGCUUUGAAACCAGGACGCCAGUUUUGGCGGAGCCAUCCUUGGGAUACCACCCUUGUAGUACUGGGACUCUAACCAUAGGCCAUGAAUCUGGUCUUGGGACACUGUCAGGUGGGCAGUUUGACUGGGGCGGUCGCCUCCCAAAAGGUAACGGAGGCGCUCAAAGGUUCUCUCAGUACGGUCGGAAAUCGUACGUAGAGUGUAAAGGCAAAAGAGAGCUUGAUUGCAAGACAUACAGGUCGAGCAAGGAUGAAAAUCGGACUUAGUGAUCCGGUGGUUCUGCGUGGAAGGGCCAUCGCUCAACGGAUAAAAGCUACCCUGGGGAUAACAGGCUUAUCUCCCCCAAGAGUCCACAUCGACGGGGAGGUUUGGCACCUCGAUGUCGGCUCAUCACAUCCUGGGGCUGUAGUAGGUCCCAAGGGUUGGGCUGUUCGCCCAUUAAAGUGGUACGCGAGCUGGGUUCAGAACGUCGUGAGACAGUUCGGUCCCUAUCCGUCGCAGGCGUAGGAAAUUUGAGAAGACCUGUCCUUAGUACGAGAGGACCGGGAUGGACG